GCCGGCGCGCGGGGAUGGGCCUGCGUCCUAUCAGCUAGUUGGUAGGGUAACGGCCUACCAAGGCGUCGACGGGUAGCUGGUCUGAGAGGAUGAUCAGCCACACUGGCACUGAAACACGGGCCAGACUCCUACGGGAGGCAGCAGUGAGGAAUUUGCGCAAUGGCCGAAAGGCUGACGCAGCAACGCCGCGUGGGUGAAGAAGGCCUUCGGGUCGUAAAGCCCUGUCAAGUGGGAAGAAUGGCCGGGGAGUUAGUAGCGUCCCGGUUUGACGGUACCACUGGAGGAAGCACCGGCUAACUCCGUGCCAGCAGCCGCGGUAAUACGGAGGGUGCGAGCGUUAUUCGGAAUUACUGGGCGUAAAGCGCGUGCAGGCGGGCCGGCAAGUCUGAUGUGAAAGCCCCGGGCUCAACCCGGGAAGUGCAUUGGAUACUGCUGGUCUUGAGUCCUGGAGAGGAAGGGGGAAUUCCCGGUGUAGAGGUGAAAUUCGUAGAGAUCGGGAGGAAUACCAGUGGCGAAGGCGCCCUUCUGGACAGUGACUGACGCUGAGACGCGAAAGCGUGGGGAGCAAACAGGAUUAGAUACCCUGGUAGUCCACGCUGUAAACGAUGAGC
This 611-nucleotide ribosomal RNA is filed under the name uncultured Geobacter sp. RNAcentral's name for it is "bacterial SSU rRNA". It matches the Rfam family "Bacterial small subunit ribosomal RNA", at positions 206 to 814 of the family's 1533-position model. The record is from RNAcentral. Lineage: Bacteria; Pseudomonadati; Thermodesulfobacteriota; Desulfuromonadia; Geobacterales; Geobacteraceae.